AACCUCCGCAAUGUGAGAAAUCGCGACGGGGGGAUCCCAAGUGCCAUUCUUAACGGGAUGGCUUUUCAUUAGUGUAAAGAGCUUUUGGAAUAAGGGCUGGGCAAGACCGGUGCCAGCCGCCGCGGUAACACCGGCAGCUCUAGUGGUAGCAGUUUUUAUUGGGCCUAAAGCGUCCGUAGCCGGUUUAAUAAGUCUCUGGUGAAAUCCUGUAGCUUAACUGUGGGAAUAGCUGGAGAUACUAUUAGACUUGAGACCGGGAGAGGUUAGAGGUACUCCCAGGGUAGAGGUGAAAUUCUGUAAUCCUGGGAGGACCGCCUGUUGCGAAGGCGUCUAACUGGAACGGUUCUGACGGUGAGGGACGAAAGUUAGGGGCGCGAACCGGAUUAGAUACCCGGGUAGUCCUAACUGUAAACGAUGCGGACUUGGUGUUGGGAUGGCUUUGAGCUGCUCCAGUGCCGAAGGGAAGCUGUUAAGUCCGCCGCCUGGGAAGUACGGUCGCAAGACUGAAACUUAAAGGAAUU
RNAcentral lists this ribosomal RNA (521 nucleotides) under uncultured bacterium. Its description in RNAcentral is "bacterial SSU rRNA". It matches the Rfam family "Archaeal small subunit ribosomal RNA", at positions 345 to 866 of the family's 1478-position model. The record is from RNAcentral.